RNAcentral lists this ribosomal RNA (207 nucleotides) under uncultured bacterium. Its description in RNAcentral is "partial 16S ribosomal RNA". It matches the Rfam family "Bacterial small subunit ribosomal RNA", at positions 568 to 774 of the family's 1533-position model. The record is from RNAcentral.
CUCGUAGGCGGUUAGUCGCGUCGGAUGUGAAAACCCAGUGCUUAACACUGGGCCUGCAUUCGAUACGGGCUGACUAGAGUGUUGUAGGGGAGACUGGAACUCCUGGUGUAGCGGUGAAAUGCGCAGAUAUCAGGAAGAACACCGGUGGCGAAGGCGGGUCUCUGGGCAACUACUGACGCUGAGGAGCGAAAGCGUGGGGAGCAAACA